RNAcentral lists this ribosomal RNA (1372 nucleotides) under uncultured bacterium. RNAcentral describes it as "bacterial SSU rRNA". It matches the Rfam family "Bacterial small subunit ribosomal RNA", at positions 28 to 1381 of the family's 1533-position model. The record is from RNAcentral.
GAUGAACGCUGGCGGCGUGCCUAAUACAUGCAAGUCGAGCGAACGGACGAGAAGCUUGCUUCUCUGAUGUUAGCGGCGGACGGGUGAGUAACACGCGGAUAACCUACCUAUAAGACUGGGAUAACUUCGGGAAACCGGAGCUAAUACCGGAUAAUAUUUUGAACCGCAUGGUUCAAAAGUGAAAGACGGUCUUGCUGUCACUUAUAGAUGGAUCCGCGCUGCAUUAGCUAGUUGGUAAGGUAACGGCUUACCAAGGCAACGAUGCAUAGCCGACCUGAGAGGGUGAUCGGCCACACUGGAACUGAGACACGGUCCAGACUCCUACGGGAGGCAGCAGUAGGGAAUCUUCCGCAAUGGGCGAAAGCCUGACGGAGCAACGCCGCGUGAGUGAUGAAGGUCUUCGGAUCGUAAAACUCUGUUAUUAGGGAAGAACAUAUGUGUAAGUAACUGUGCACAUCUUGACGGUACCUAAUCAGAAAGCCACGGCUAACUACGUGCCAGCAGCCGCGGUAAUACGUAGGUGGCAAGCGUUAUCCGGAAUUAUUGGGCGUAAAGCGCGCGUAGGCGGUUUUUUAAGUCUGAUGUGAAAGCCCACGGCUCAACUGUGGAGGGUCAUUGGAAACUGGAAAACUUGAGUGCAGAAGAGGAAAGUGGAAUUCCAUGUGUAGCGGUGAAAUGCGCAGAGAUAUGGAGGAACACCAGUGGCGAAGGCGACUUUCUGGUCUGUAACUGACGCUGAUGUGCGAAAGCGUGGGGAUCAAACAGGAUUAGAUACCCUGGUAGUCCACGCCGUAAACGAUGAGUGCUAAGUGUUAGGGGGUUUCCGCCCCUUAGUGCUGCAGCUAACGCAUUAAGCACUCCGCCUGGGGGGUACGACCGCAAGGUUGAAACUCAAAGGAAUUGACGGGGACCCGCACAAGCGGUGGAGCAUGUGGUUUAAUUCGAAGCAACGCGAAGAACCUUACCAAAUCUUGACAUCCUUUGACAACUCUAGAGAUAGAGCCUUCCCCUUCGGGGGACAAAGUGACAGGUGGUGCAUGGUUGUCGUCAGCUCGUGUCGUGAGAUGUUGGGUUAAGUCCCGCAACGAGCGCAACCCUUAAGCUUAGUUGCCAUCAUUAAGUUGGGCACUCUAAGUUGACUGCCGGUGACAAACCGGAGGAAGGUGGGGAUGACGUCAAAUCAUCAUGCCCCUUAUGAUUUGGGCUACACACGUGCUACAAUGGACAAUACAAAGGGCAGCGAAACCGCGAGGUCAAGCAAAUCCCAUAAAGUUGUUCUCAGUUCGGAUUGUAGUCUGCAACUCGACUACAUGAAGCUGGAAUCGCUGGUAAUCGUAGAUCAGCAUGCUACGGUGAAUACGUUCCCGGGUCU